CCCUUAGAUGUUCUGGGCCGCACGCGCGCUACACUGAUGCAUUCAACGAGCCUAUCCUUGACCGACAGGUCCGGGUAAUCUUUGAAUCUGCAUCGUGACGGGGAUAGAUUAUUGCGAUUAUUAAUCUUCAACGAGGAAUGCCUAGUAGGCGCAAGUCAUCAGCUUGCGUCGAUUACGUCCCUGCCCUUUGUACACACCGCCCGUCGCUCCUACCGAUUGGGUGUGCUGGUGAAAUGUUCGGAUCGGCCGUUUGUCGCGGUUUCCGCGUCAUGUGGCUGAGAAGUUCAUUAAACCCUCCCACCUAGAGGAAGGAGAAGUCGUAACA
Molecule: ribosomal RNA, 325 nt
Filed under: uncultured eukaryote
Lineage: Eukaryota
Description: partial 18S ribosomal RNA
Rfam family: Eukaryotic small subunit ribosomal RNA
Source: RNAcentral